Molecule: ribosomal RNA, 860 nt
Filed under: uncultured archaeon
Lineage: Archaea
Description: bacterial SSU rRNA
Rfam family: Archaeal small subunit ribosomal RNA
Source: RNAcentral
CACCCGCAGCUCGAGUGGUGGUCACUUUUAUUGAGCCUAAAGCGUUUGUAGCCGGUUUUGCAAAUCUUCAGAUAAAUUCCUCUGCUUAACAGAUGAUCUUCUGAAGAGACUGCGAGACUGGGACCCGGGUGAGGUGAAGGUACUUCCGGGGUAGGGGUAAAAUCCUGUAAUCCUGGAAGGACGACCGGUGGCGAAGGCGUUCAACUAGAACGGAUCCGACGGUGAGGAACGAGGGCUAGGGUAGCAAACCGGAUUAGAUACCCGGGUAGUCCUAGCUGUAAACACUGCCCACUUGGUGUUGCCCCUCCGAUGAGGGGAGGCAGUGCCGGAGCGAAGGUGUUAAGUGGGCCGCUUGGGGAGUAUGGUCGCAAGGCUGAAACUUAAAGGAAUUGGCGGGGGAGCACCGCAACGGGAGGAGCGUGCGGUUUAAUUGGAUUCAACGCCGGAAAACUCACCGGGAGCGACCUUUGGAUGAGAGUCAGCCUGAUGAGCUUACUCGAUAGAAGGAGAGGUGGUGCAUGGCCGUCGUCAGCUCGUACCGUAGGGCGUUCACUUAAGUGUGAUAACGAGCGAGACCCCCAUCUCUAAUUGCUAACGUGCAUUCGCGUGCACGCGCACUUUAGAGGGACCGCCAGUGCUAAACUGGAGGAAGGAGGGGUCGACGGCAGGUCAGUACGCCCCGAAUCUCCCGGGCAACACGCGCGCUACAAAGGGCAGGACAAUGAGUUGCCACCUCGAAAGGGGGAGCUAAUCUCGAAACCUGUUCGUAGUUAGGAUUGAGGGCUGUAACUCGCCCUCAUGAAUGUGGAUUCCGCAGUAAUCGCGGGUCAACAGCCCGCGGUGAAUAUGCCCCUGCUCCU